RNAcentral lists this ribosomal RNA (986 nucleotides) under Candidatus Phytoplasma prunorum. RNAcentral describes it as "bacterial SSU rRNA". It matches the Rfam family "Bacterial small subunit ribosomal RNA", at positions 112 to 1103 of the family's 1533-position model. Lineage: Bacteria; Bacillati; Mycoplasmatota; Mollicutes; Acholeplasmatales; Acholeplasmataceae. The record is from RNAcentral.
AUACCGUAAGUACCUGCCUCUCAGACGAGGAUAACAGUUGGAAACGACUGCUAAGACUGGAUAUGAAGUUUUGAGGCAUCUCGAAACUUUUAAAAGACCCGCAAGGGUAUGCUGAGAGAUGGGCUUGCGGCACAUUAGUUAGUUGGUAAGGUAAUGGCUUACCAAGACUAUGAUGUGUAGCUGGACUGAGAGGUUGAACGGCCACAUUGGGACUGAGAUACGGCCCAAACUCCUACGGGAGGCAGCAGUAAGGAAUUUUCGGCAAUGGAGGAAACUCUGACCGAGCAACGCCGCGUGAACGAUGAAGUAUUUAGGUACGUAAAGUUCUUUUAUUAAAGAAGAAAAAAUGAUGGAAAAAUCAUUCUGACGGUAUUUAAUGAAUAAGCCCCGGCUAACUAUGUGCCAGCAGCUGCGGUAAUACAUGGGGGGCAAGCGUUAUCCGGAUUUAUUGGGCGUAAAGGGUGCGUAGGCGGUUAAAUAAGUCUAUGGUAUAAGUUCAACGCUUAACGUUGUGAUGCUAUAGAAACUGUUUGACUAGAGUUGGAUAGAGGCAAGUGGAAUUCCAUGUGUAGCGGUAAAAUGCGUAAAUAUAUGGAGGAACACCAGUAGCGAAGGCGGCUUGCUGGGUCUUAACUGACGCUGAGGCACGAAAGCGUGGGGAGCAAACAGGAUUAGAUACCCUGGUAGUCCACGCCGUAAACGAUGAGUACUAAGUGUUGGGUUAAACCAGUGCUGAAGUUAACACAUUAAGUACUCCGCCUGAGUAGUACGUACGCAAGUAUGAAACUUAAAGGAAUUGACGGGACUCCGCACAAGCGGUGGAUCAUGUUGUUUAAUUCGAAGAUACACGAAAAACCUUACCAGGUCUUGACAUACUCUGCAAAGCUAUAGAAAUAUAGUGGAGGUUAUCAGGGAUACAGGUGGUGCAUGGUUGUCGUCAGCUCGUGUCGUGAGAUGUUGGGUUAAGUCCCGCAACGAGCGCAACC